AUUGAUUGGCGCAAAUGCUGUGGGGUUGGUUCUUGGUUGACCAAUCUUCUACAUGGCAGACUUUACGUAAGAGAAUGUUAUCAGUUUCAAUCAGUGUUCAAAGCAAAGGAAUUCAAAAAAACUGGAUGAAGAAUUUGUUUUAGUGUUUUAUUCCAGUUACUUAAUAAGUAGUCAUCCUAAAGAACAAGGUAAGAGUAAUCGUAUACAAUUUUAAAUUAAAUAGGAAAUUGUAAUUCACUUUUAUUUUGCAUUUAUUUCUGUUUUUCUUUUUCAGAUAAUCGUAGACCAGUACAAACCUUUACUCGCACUGUUGAGUCUUUAUUAGUUGAUUAAUACCAAAUUGUACAUUUGUACAUGAUUGAACAUGACCUCAGCAAAUAUCUAUCUUCAAUUGACAUAGACAAGAUAAUCUGUCAAACAUUUUUAAUGUAAAAUCCUACAACUACAGUAAGCCAGUCCUAUAUUGUGGUAAAUAAAAAGGGGUAAUAGUUUCAAUUUAUUGGAAUUAUAGUGAGACUUUAUGCCUCUGCUUCUGCAAUAUCCAUAAUUUCCACAGGAGUGGCAGCUACCCUCGUCUACAAAACGAAAAUACUAUUCAUUGUAAAUCGAAGAAGAACGAAGUUUAACGAACUAAACGUUCCAAAAUGUACCCGGAAAUACACGCAGUGAGUGAAAAGUCGGUCGGUGUGCCGGUUGUGUGAAUUAUGGAUUACUUUGUUCCGCUAACCAACUAAAAUACGAAAAGGUAAGUCUUCAAAAUUGAUAUUAUUUAUACUACAUUGUAAACCUUUUAGUAGGUAAAAUGACUUGCUUUAAUUUGCAUACUUUUGAACAUUAUUGAUUUAAA
Agrilus planipennis (emerald ash borer) is the source of this 847-nucleotide long non-coding RNA. RefSeq lists it as uncharacterized. Lineage: Eukaryota; Metazoa; Arthropoda; Insecta; Coleoptera; Buprestidae. The record is from RefSeq and is a predicted model, not a curated record. The transcript has 3 exons.